UACGUAGGUGGCAAGCGUUGUCCGGAUUUACUGGGCGUAAAGAGCGCGCAGGCGGUCGGAUAAGUCGGCUGUGAAAGCCCCCGGCUCAACUGGGGAGGGUCAGUCGAUACUGUUCGACUCGAAGGCAGGAGAGGGAAGUGGAAUUCCCGGUGUAGUGGUGAAAUGCGUAGAUAUCGGGAGGAACACCAGUGGCGAAGGCGACUUCCUGGCCUGUUCUUGACGCUGAGGCGCGAAAGCUAGGGGAGCAAACGGG
RNAcentral lists this ribosomal RNA (253 nucleotides) under uncultured bacterium. RNAcentral describes it as "partial 16S ribosomal RNA". It matches the Rfam family "Bacterial small subunit ribosomal RNA", at positions 524 to 776 of the family's 1533-position model. The record is from RNAcentral.